GGGUGUACAGCUCAGUGGUAGAGUACAUGUUUGGCAUGCACGAGGUCCUGGGUUCAAUCCACAGCACCUCCA
Molecule: transfer RNA, 72 nt
Filed under: Camelus bactrianus (Bactrian camel)
Lineage: Eukaryota; Metazoa; Chordata; Mammalia; Artiodactyla; Camelidae
Also listed under: 1 other name
Rfam family: tRNA
About the family: Transfer RNA (tRNA) molecules are approximately 80 nucleotides in length. Their secondary structure includes four short double-helical elements and three loops (D, anti-codon, and T loops).
Source: Rfam by way of RNAcentral